RNAcentral lists this long non-coding RNA (201 nucleotides) under Homo sapiens (human). Its description in RNAcentral is "HSALNT0053077". The record is from RNAcentral. Lineage: Eukaryota; Metazoa; Chordata; Mammalia; Primates; Hominidae.
UGCACACGCGGACAGAGUGAUUGUAAGGAUAUGUGUGCACCUCACAGAGAGGUUGUGAGAUUGUAAGGGUUUGCGCACCUAACGGAGAUGUUGUGAGUGCUUUUUUUCCUGACAGGCUGUGAGUUUGUGUUGUGUGUAUUAGAGGUUUGUAUGGGCCUGACUGAGGGGUUGUGGAAUGUGUGUGCGUGAGCAUGAGCCUGG